RNAcentral lists this ribosomal RNA (253 nucleotides) under uncultured prokaryote. RNAcentral describes it as "partial 16S ribosomal RNA". It matches the Rfam family "Bacterial small subunit ribosomal RNA", at positions 525 to 777 of the family's 1533-position model. The record is from RNAcentral.
ACAGAGGCCACGAGCGUUAGGCGGAAUCACUGGGCUUAAAGCGUGUGUAGGUGGAUGGGUAAGUACCUUGUGAAAUCCCACAGCUCAACAGUGGAACUGCUUGGUAUACUGCCCGUCUUGAGGCACUCAGGGGCGAGCGGAACAGAUGGUGGAGCGGUGAAAUGCGUAGAUAUCAUCUGGAACGCCAAUGGUGAAGACAGCUCGCUGGGGGUGUACUGACACUGAGACACGAAAGCCAGGGGAGCAAACGGGA